Molecule: ribosomal RNA, 408 nt
Filed under: uncultured bacterium
Lineage: Bacteria
Description: partial 16S ribosomal RNA
Rfam family: Bacterial small subunit ribosomal RNA
Source: RNAcentral
GACGAACGCUGGCGGCGUGCCUAACACAUGCAAGUCGAACGGAGUGGCGAACGGGUGAGUAACACGUGGGUGAUCUGCCGUGCACUUCGGGAUAAGCCUGGGAAACUGGGUCUAAUACCGGUUAGCGCAAGAUGAGCUCGCGUCCUAUCAGCUUGUUGGUGGGGUAAUGGCCUACCUAGGCGUCGACGGGUAGCCGGCCUGAGAGGGUGGACGGCCACAUUAGGACUGAGAUACGGCCCAGACUGCUACGGGGGGCAGCAGGGGGGAGUAUGACACAAUGGGCGGAAGCGUGAUGCGGCGACGCCGGGUGGGGAAUGAAGGCCUAGGGGUUGUAAACUCCUUUCGACAGGGACGCGGUACCUGUAUAAGAAGCACCGGCUAACUACGUGCCAGCAGCCGCGGUAAUAC